Molecule: ribosomal RNA, 292 nt
Filed under: uncultured bacterium
Lineage: Bacteria
Description: partial 16S ribosomal RNA
Rfam family: Bacterial small subunit ribosomal RNA
Source: RNAcentral
GUGCCAGGCGCCGCGGUAAUACGGAGGGGGUUAGCGUUGUUCGGAAUUACUGGGCGUAAAGCGCGCGUAGGCGGACUGGAAAGUUGGGGGUGAAAUCCCGGGGCUCAACCCCGGAACUGCCUUCAAAACUAUCAGUCUAGAGUUCGAGAGAGGUGAGUGGAAUUGCGAGUGUAGAGGUGAAAUUCGUAGAUAUUCGCAGGAACACCAGUGGCGAAGGCGGCUCACUGGCUCGAUACUGACGCUGAGGUGCGAAAGUGUGGGGAGCAAACAGGAUUAGAUACCCCGGUAGUCC